Bos taurus (domestic cattle) is the source of this 1001-nucleotide long non-coding RNA. NCBI's taxonomy places the organism in Eukaryota, Metazoa, Chordata, Mammalia, Artiodactyla, Bovidae. The record is from Ensembl.
GACAGGGGGCACCAGAGGAGAAGUCAGGACCCUAAAGGAAACUCGGGGCUAAGUAUCUCUCAAGGGCAGUCUUCCACAAUCUACCUUUUCCCAACCACCAGGACUGCAAUUCAUUAAGAACAUUUGUGAAAUAACAGUACUAGGAAACCCCAGGAGAAACAGCUAUACUGUUCGAGGAUUUGAAGUCUCAAUGUAUCGCUCGUGUGGAUUGUACAUAGUCUUCUUAACCGGAAGACCUUUUAUCCCAGCCUAUAAUCUAAAAGACCUGAAACUUCAGUGCUGGCACUGCUGGAAGCUUUUCCAUUGAACCACAUGCUUUAAAAAAAAAAAAAAAAACUCUACAUUUUAGUUUUCAUCUCUUCAGCAGAGCAAAUUAUCCCAUCAGCCUGUGGAGAAGUGGGAGGUUAUUGUUCAUGAAACUAUGAAAGAACAUAACACCAUAAUGCAAAUGAGAAGCUUGAAGUCUCUUUCACCCAUGAAAGCUAUCCUGGCAAAUACUCAUUCUCAGAGAAAAGAGGAGGGGAAAAAAAACAAAUGCACUGUAGCCUUUAUAUAGAAAGUUUAGAGAAGAAUAUUAGGACUGUAUUUGAGGGAAACAAGAAAUAACUAUGCAACUGCACGCCUCCCUCCAUCAUCUCAAGGCCACCUUUUAAGGAGGUUUUGUUGUUAUGAAAUAGAAUGAUGUUUUCUGCCUGUCUGACCCAGAGAAGCAUAUUGGUCCACACUUCUAUAGUUUCUGCCCAGAACGUACUGCCUGAAUGCUAUACACAGUGCUGAAGGACAUUAGCUAUCCACCAUACAGACAAACUUUCGUCUCCUGCCCUGGUGUAUUCUCACUCAGCAUUUACUUUAGGUAACAGAGGCCUCCUUUCUGUAAAGGGGGAAUUGGGGAGCCAGCUAAAAGCCAAGUGCCAGGAAAGAGAGUAGAGGAAAAUCCAUUCUAGUCUCCAGGGUAACCCUUGGGUAUUCUCCCUGUUUUUCCAAGACAAUGAGCAAUUUCU